UGCGUAGGCGUCCAGGAAAGUUAUUUGUUAAAUCCUCCGGCUUAACCGGAGAAAUGCAUAUAAAACUACUUGGAUAGAGUUUAAGAGAGGAAAUGGAAUUCCUGGUGUAGCGGUGACAUGCGUAGAUAUCAGGAGGAACACCUAUGGCGAAGGCAGUUUUCUGGCUUAAAACUGACGCUGAGGCACGAAAGCGUGGGGAGCAAACA
RNAcentral lists this ribosomal RNA (206 nucleotides) under uncultured bacterium. RNAcentral describes it as "partial 16S ribosomal RNA". It matches the Rfam family "Bacterial small subunit ribosomal RNA", at positions 568 to 774 of the family's 1533-position model. The record is from RNAcentral.